UUUUCUUAGUAGCGGCGAGCGAAAAGAAAUCAGUUCAGCACUAAGUCACUUUGUCUUUAUGGCAAAUGUGAGAUGCAGUGUAUGGAACGUCUUCAAUCUAGUAUGAGAAAUUAACGAUUUAAGUCCUUCUUAAAUGAGGCCAAUUACCCAUAGAGGGUGCCAGGCCCGUAUAACGUUAAUGAUUACUAGAAGGCGCUUCCGAAGAGUCGUGUUGCUUGAUAGUGCAGCACUAAGUUGGUGGUAAACUCCAUCUAAAACUAAAUAUAACCAUGAGACCGAUAGUAAACAAGUACCGUGAGGGAAAGUUGAAAAGAACUCUGAAUAGAGAGUUAAAUAGUACGUGAAACUGCUUAGAGGUUAAGCCCGAUGAACCUGAAUAUCCGUUAUGGAAAAUUCAUCAUUAAAAUUGUAAUAUCUUUAAAAAAAUAUUAUAAUGAUAGUGUGCAUUUUUUCCAUAUAAGGACAUUGUAAUCUAUUAACAUAAUAAAAUAUUUAUCAAAAAUUCAUGAACUUUAAGUUUAUUCGGAUUAUUUUGCUUGCAUUAUAACAUAGAAUAAAUGUUUAUGAUUUGAUAAAGUGUUGAUAGAUUUAUCAUAUAUACAGUGCUUUAAUUUUUCGGAAUUAUAUAAUGGCAUAAUUAUCAAUGAUUUUUAUGUUUAUUAUAUGCACUUGUAUGAUUAACAAUGCGAAAGAUUCAGGAUACCCUCGGGACCCGUCUUGAAACACGGACCAAGGAGUCUAACAUAUAUGCAAGUCAUUGGGAUUUUAUAAACUUAAUGGCGUAAUUAACUUAACUUGUUAAUUAUGGGAUUAGUUUUUAAACUAUUUAUAGUUUAUUAACACAAUCCCGGGGCGUUCUAUAUAGUUAUGUAUAUUAAUAUUUAUAUUAUU
This 891-nucleotide ribosomal RNA is filed under the name Stegana jiajinshanensis. Its description in RNAcentral is "eukaryotic LSU rRNA". It matches the Rfam family "Eukaryotic large subunit ribosomal RNA", at positions 75 to 786 of the family's 3401-position model. The record is from RNAcentral. Lineage: Eukaryota; Metazoa; Arthropoda; Insecta; Diptera; Drosophilidae.